GGAUUAGAUACCCUGGUAGUCCACGCCGUAAACGAUGUGCACUAGAUUUAGGGGGAAUUGACCCCCUCUGAGUCAAAGCUAACGCAUUAAGUGCACCGCCUGGGGAGUACGGUCGCAAGACUAAAACUCAAAGGAAUUGACGGGGGCCCGCACAAGCGGUGGAUUAUGUGGUUUAAUUCGAAGCAACGCGCAGAACCUUACCUAGGCUUGAAAUCCUACGAAUCUGGCCCAAAAGCCGGAGUGCCCCUCGGGGAAUGUAGAGACAGGCGCUGCAUGGCUGUCGUCAGCUCGUGUCG
RNAcentral lists this ribosomal RNA (296 nucleotides) under uncultured bacterium. RNAcentral's name for it is "partial 16S ribosomal RNA". It matches the Rfam family "Bacterial small subunit ribosomal RNA", at positions 775 to 1067 of the family's 1533-position model. The record is from RNAcentral.